CGUGCGGUAGUCGAUGCGGUGGCCGCCGGCCUCGAUAGCCGGGUGCGCCGGUGCGUCGCGCGCGAUGCGUUCGAUCCGCGCGAGCACGUC
RNAcentral lists this transfer RNA (90 nucleotides) under Burkholderia metallica. Its description in RNAcentral is "tRNA-Ser". Lineage: Bacteria; Pseudomonadati; Pseudomonadota; Betaproteobacteria; Burkholderiales; Burkholderiaceae. The record is from RNAcentral.